CAUUGUACGACACAAUUUUUCCAUACAGGCAGAGAUACGGUGGAAUGCAAUUCGUGUUUUAAAAUAUUAAUUGUGAUCUCUUUAGUGUAGAAAGCUAUGUUGCAGUUUAUGUUACUAUUCAGCCGGCAAGGCAAGCUAAGGCUGCAAAAAUGGUAUGUCGCACACUCGGACAAGGUCAAGAAGAAGAUCACCCGGGAACUAAUUACGACAAUCCUGUCCCGUAAGCCCAAAAUGUGCUCCUUUUUGGAAUGGAAAGACUGUACUAUCGUUUACAAGAGAUAUGCGAGCUUGUACUUUUGCUGUGCUAUUGAACAAAAUGAUAACGAGCUGCUAACGCUAGAAGUAAUUCACCGGUAUGUGGAGCUGCUGGACAAAUACUUCGGUAGUGUAUGUGAGCUGGACAUCAUUUUCAACUUUGAAAAGGCUUACUUCAUACUAGAUGAGCUGUUAGUGGGAGGCGAGAUACAGGAAACCUCAAAAAAGAACGUCCUCAAGGCAAUAGCUGCGCAAGAUGUGCUCCAAGAGCAAAAGGAAUUGGAGUGUUAAUGCAAAAUGUAUACAUUCAAUAGUGAAGAUAUUGGAGUGAUUUUUUUAAUUCGGAGAAAUUUGUAAAAGGGGAUUAUCUCUCUAAGUGUCACCGGUAUCGAAGUAAAAACAGUAUACAAAAUUGAAACACUAAUACUCCUUGCUUAUAGUGUAAGGCAUUUCCAUUAUCAAUGGUUAACGAUCGUUCGUCGCUGUACUUUCCGGGACACCGGUUCUGGGUUUUACAGGAGCGACGGGUUGAGCUUCUUCGUACUCUUCAGCUACAAGCCAAGAGCGUUUUGCAAUCUUCAGCACUUCAGCAACAAGCGCAUACUCACCUUGAAAGCUAUGGCUGUAAAUAUGCAACGGAUUGGAACCCAAGAAUUCCUAUCAACCUAAUGACGAAACACCGCAAGGGUUCUUCGAGGACCACGGGCUCGGGUAGACGGCGGCCGGUGUCGGUGGAACAAGGCGUAUCCCUUCGCUAGCCAAAGCAACUCGCAACGAAUUACUAUGAUUUAGUGGUCUUUUAUCAUUCGAACGUCAUAUUUCCUCGUAGAUUUUAUUUUCUUCCGUUCGUCAGCAGGCGUCUUCUGACGGAUUUGCUUCAACCUAUUCCCAUUCACUUCGAUUCUGCCAAGGAUGCAUCCGUGACCCUAAUCGGCGAUGCCGCAGUAAGCACAUAUCAUAUGUUUCUUCUGUUGGGUGAUCCAUGCCACGACUUCAGGACUCAUUUGCGUUUAUAUAAUUGCACCAUUUUGUGAACAGUUUACCGCAAAACGCACAUGUUAAGUUACAAUCGUAGAAAGAUAUCGCUCCAAACCGACACCGCAACACGCCCCGAGUCUUUUUCCUGAAGCCCGAUAGAACCUCUCCUCAUGAGGUGAUCCCACUUCGGCCCGGACGCAUCAACACGAUGAGGUGUCGCCUUGUACUUAAUAGUGUGUAAGAUAAUUCGCCAACAUUUCCACGAAACGCUGGGGCAUCGCAAACCGCCGGCAUAUAGAAAGAAGAGGUGUAAAAAUAUCUCAAGAUGUGGAACCAGUAGAACGCUACUUCGCCACUCCCCGAGCUGAAGAAGGAAGUAAAACGGAAUGAAUCAUGGAGUGGAAAAUCCCUGACGAUCACGCAUUCGCAUGAUUCGCAAGAAACGACCUGCAGACAGAAUGGCAUUUAUAGCGCGUAGAUUGUAGUUCUUCUCUCGUUGGUGAUGAUGAUUAGUAGAGUUUAAAGAUAGUGAGUUCAUAUUCCUGAUAUACUUAUCGUAACAAGAACAAGCGAUUUCUAAUAAAAUUAGAACAUACUGUA
Anopheles coustani is the source of this 1833-nucleotide RNA transcript. It is a transcript of the gene named AP-1 complex subunit sigma-2, with no coding region annotated. NCBI's taxonomy places the organism in Eukaryota, Metazoa, Arthropoda, Insecta, Diptera, Culicidae. The transcript is spliced from 6 exons. The record is from RefSeq and is a predicted model, not a curated record.